RNAcentral lists this ribosomal RNA (436 nucleotides) under Bradyrhizobium sp. Its description in RNAcentral is "bacterial SSU rRNA". It matches the Rfam family "Bacterial small subunit ribosomal RNA", at positions 29 to 508 of the family's 1533-position model. Lineage: Bacteria; Pseudomonadati; Pseudomonadota; Alphaproteobacteria; Hyphomicrobiales; Nitrobacteraceae. RNAcentral also lists the same sequence under 2 other names. The record is from RNAcentral.
AGCGAACGCUGGCGGCAGGCUUAACACAUGCAAGUCGAGCGGGCAUAGCAAUAUGUCAGCGGCAGACGGGUGAGUAACGCGUGGGAACGUACCUUUUGGUUCGGAACAACUGAGGGAAACUUCAGCUAAUACCGGAUAAGCCCUUACGGGGAAAGAUUUAUCGCCGAAAGAUCGGCCCGCGUCUGAUUAGCUAGUUGGUGAGGUAAUGGCUCACCAAGGCGACGAUCAGUAGCUGGUCUGAGAGGAUGAUCAGCCACAUUGGGACUGAGACACGGCCCAAACUCCUACGGGAGGCAGCAGUGGGGAAUAUUGGACAAUGGGCGCAAGCCUGAUCCAGCCAUGCCGCGUGAGUGAUGAAGGCCCUAGGGUUGUAAAGCUCUUUUGUGCGGGAAGAUAAUGACGGUACCGCAAGAAUAAGCCCCGGCUAACUUCGUGC